Molecule: ribosomal RNA, 254 nt
Filed under: uncultured bacterium
Lineage: Bacteria
Description: partial 16S ribosomal RNA
Rfam family: Bacterial small subunit ribosomal RNA
Source: RNAcentral
GACGUAGGGCGCGAGCGUUGUCCGGAUUUAUUGGGCGUAAAGAGCUCGUAGGCGGUUUGGCAAGUCGGGUGUGAAAACUCCGGGCUCAACCCGGAGACGCCACUCGAUACUGCUAUGACUUGAGUCCGGUAGGGGAGUGCGGAAUUCCUGGUGUAGCGGUGAAAUGCGCAGAUAUCAGGAGGAACACCGGUGGCGAAGGCGGCACUCUGGGCCGGUACUGACGCUGAGGAGCGAAAGCGUGGGGAGCGAACAGG